Molecule: ribosomal RNA, 253 nt
Filed under: uncultured bacterium
Lineage: Bacteria
Description: partial 16S ribosomal RNA
Rfam family: Bacterial small subunit ribosomal RNA
Source: RNAcentral
UACGUAGGUGGCAAGCGUUGUCCGGAUUUACUGGGUGUAAAGGGCGUGCAGCCGGGCUGACAAGUCAGAUGUGAAAUCCCGCGGCUCAACCGCGGAACUGCAUUUGAAACUGUUAGUCUUGAGUACCGGAGAGGUCAUCGGAAUUCCUUGUGUAGCGGUGAAAUGCGUAGAUAUAUGGAGGAACACCGGUGGCGAAAGCGGCUCUCUGGCCUGUAACUGACACUGAGGCUCGAAAGCGUGGGGAGCAAACAGG